UGAGGUGUGGUGUAACGGUAACACACGAGAUUUUGGUUCUCGCGUUGGAGGUUCGAAUCCUUCCAUCUCAA
This 71-nucleotide transfer RNA is filed under the name Caudoviricetes sp. Its description in RNAcentral is "tRNA-Gln". It matches the Rfam family "tRNA". Rfam says of the family: Transfer RNA (tRNA) molecules are approximately 80 nucleotides in length. Their secondary structure includes four short double-helical elements and three loops (D, anti-codon, and T loops). Further hydrogen bonds mediate the characteristic L-shaped molecular structure. tRNAs have two regions of fundamental functional importance: the anti-codon, which is responsible for specific mRNA codon recognition, and the 3' end, to which the tRNAs corresponding amino acid is attached (by aminoacyl-tRNA synthetases). tRNAs cope with the degeneracy of the genetic code in two manners: having more than one tRNA (with a specific anti-codon) for a particular amino acid; and 'wobble' base-pairing, i.e. permitting non-standard base-pairing at the 3rd anti-codon position. The record is from RNAcentral. Lineage: Duplodnaviria; Heunggongvirae; Uroviricota; Caudoviricetes.